UACGAAGGUGGCAAGCGUUACUCGGAAUUACUAGGCGUAAAGGGCAGGUAGGUGGUUUGGUUAGUCUGUUGUGAAAGCUCCUUGCUUAACGGGGAGAGGUCAAUAGAUACUGCCAGACUUGAGUAUGGGAGAGGGUACUGGAAUUCCCGGUGUAGCGGUGAAAUGCGCAGAGAUCGGGAGGAACACCAAUGGCGAAAGCAGGUACCUGGACCAUUACUGACACUCAGCUGCGAAAGCUAGGGGAGCAAACAGG
This 253-nucleotide ribosomal RNA is filed under the name uncultured bacterium. RNAcentral describes it as "partial 16S ribosomal RNA". It matches the Rfam family "Bacterial small subunit ribosomal RNA", at positions 524 to 776 of the family's 1533-position model. The record is from RNAcentral.